Molecule: long non-coding RNA, 452 nt
Filed under: Homo sapiens (human)
Lineage: Eukaryota; Metazoa; Chordata; Mammalia; Primates; Hominidae
Description: HSALNT0228363
Source: RNAcentral
UGGAAGGGGAGUGAGCAGACACACUCAGGAGGUGUCUUGAGAUUAUCAUCCGCUGAGGGUGGAGCUGAGGGUGGAAGGGGAGUGAGCAGACACUCGGGAGGUGUCUUGAGAUUAUCAUCCGCUGAGGGUAGAGCUGAGGGUGGAAGGGGAGUGAGCAGACACUCGGGAGGUGUCUUGAGAUUAUCAUCCGCUGAGGGUGGAAGGGGAUAGAGCACACACUCGGAAGGUGUCUUGAGAUUAUCAUCCGCUGAGGGUGGAGCUGAGGGUGGAAGGGGAGUGAGCAGACACUCGGGAGGUGUCUUGAGAUUAUCAUCCGCUGAGGGUGGAAGGGGAUAGAGCACACACUCGGAAGGUGUCUUGAGGCUCAGGGAGUUAUCAAUUAUAGAAUGUUGUUGAGUUGGAGGAGGUGGCUGGUGGCCCAUCCUGUUUUUUAAAGUUUCAGCUGUGAGGUA